RNAcentral lists this ribosomal RNA (305 nucleotides) under uncultured bacterium. RNAcentral describes it as "bacterial SSU rRNA". It matches the Rfam family "Bacterial small subunit ribosomal RNA", at positions 333 to 652 of the family's 1533-position model. The record is from RNAcentral.
UUCACCCUACGGGACGCAGCAGUGGGGAAUAUUGGGCAAUGGGCGCAAGCCUGACCCAGCAACGCCGCGUGAAGGAAGAAGGCUUUCGGGUUGUAAACUUCUUUUAUGAGGGACGAAAGAAAUGACGGUACCUCAUGAAUAAGCCACGGCUAACUACGUGCCAGCAGCCGCGGUAAUACGUAGGUGGCAAGCGUUAUCCGGAUUUACUGGGUGUAAAGGGCGUGUAGGCGGGACUGCAAGUCAGAUGUGAAAUCCGGGGGCUCAACCCCCGAACUGCAUUUGAAACUGUUGGUCUUGAGUAUCGG